CUCCAAGCAUCCCCCCAAAAAUGCUCCCUGUCCCCCUUCUAGGAGUAACAAGGAGGGGUUACAAGCAGUGCCACGUGUUUCUUCCUGCUGCCGUUAAAAUAACAGCUCCUCGACAUCACUUAGCAGAACAAUCAUCACCCUUACUUCAAACCGAGACCGCCGGCUGUGCGCAUUGUCUCCCUUUAACAUCAGCCGCUCGACGCGCAACGAGAGCCGGCAACUGAGCGCUCUGAAAGCCAGAAGACAGACACAAGAGCAAAUAAUUACCUUUCCCAGCACUGCAGACACACACAGAGAGACGGUUUUGUGUCCCCAGACAAGAGGCCUGCUUUCACCUGAGCAGGCUCAGCCAAUUACCCCCACCCGCACCCCCGCGCCACCAACGGAGACAAAGGGGAGCCGAGUAGGAUGAGUGACCGGGACCAGGCUGGGAGGCUCUUCAUUAGCGGAGGAGGGGUCAGACCCUGUGAUGUGGUGCCACUUCUAAGCGUCCCGGGGCUGCCCAGUGACUCUCACAGCAGGGGUUACAAUACCUGACCAGCCCCUUUCCUGGACUCCCUUCUAUUUAUAGAUGGCCUAUAGCUAAAUUUCCCAGCAGAUGUUUGUUUUAAAUAUGCUGUAAAAUUCUCUUAGAACAAUGGGAAUGAGGUAGUUGGUAUGUGAUGACCCAUUCAUCCCAACCUGCUGAAGUGUGCCAUGAGCUAAUACAUGAUCAAACCUUCCAACUGAGCCCAAUGGACACCAUGCCUGAGGAGCGCAGCACCUUUUGGGCUUGUUAAGGUAGUUGCUUAAGAUUUAAUGUCUAUAGAAGAAUUGUAAAUUGUUUAUAUCCUACAAGCAUUUUGCAUUUGUUGAAAUGCUUUUUUGAUUUCAUGACUUUUUCAAGUAAUUGCAAGAAAUGUGAAGAUAUUUGUAACUUGAGAAAUGUCCUGUAGUAAUAAACAAUGACUAUGUGUAGGGUUGUUUGUGCACAUGCACAGACAUGUUUUGGUGUACCGACAUUCACGUGUGAUUGUGCGUGAACCCUUUCUGCUGUGCCAUCCAUCCCUUACCUGUCACUUUACCGGUCUCGGGCAGUGGGAGAGGCCUCAUACUGUGGAAUGCCUGUUGCCAUUUAAGCUCCAUUACUACCUGUUGCUGGCCUAUUCUUCCUGCCCUCUAUUGCCUGGGGUUCAUAUUGGAUAAGAGCCGUAAAGCCCUGUGUUUCAU
Molecule: long non-coding RNA, 1209 nt
Organism: Oreochromis niloticus (Nile tilapia)
Lineage: Eukaryota; Metazoa; Chordata; Actinopteri; Cichliformes; Cichlidae
Exons: 4
Source: RefSeq, a predicted model, not a curated record